This 497-nucleotide ribosomal RNA is filed under the name uncultured bacterium. RNAcentral describes it as "partial 16S ribosomal RNA". It matches the Rfam family "Bacterial small subunit ribosomal RNA", at positions 28 to 507 of the family's 1533-position model. The record is from RNAcentral.
GAUGAACGCUGGCGGCGUGCCUAAUACAUGCAAGUCGAGCGAACAGACGAGGAGCUUGCUCCUUUGACGUUAGCGGCGGACGGGUGAGUAACACGUGGAUAACCUACCUAUAAGACUGGGAUAACUUCGGGAAACCGGAGCUAAUACCGGAUAACAUGUUGAACCGCAUGGUUCAACAGUGAAAGACGGUCUUGCUGUCACUUAUAGAUGGAUCCGCGCCGCAUUAGCUAGUUGGUAAGGUAACGGCUUACCAAGGCAACGAUGCGUAGCCGACCUGAGAGGGUGAUCGGCCACACUGGAACUGGGACACGGUCCAGACUCCUACGGGAGGCAGCAGUAGGGAAUCUUCCGCAAUGGGCGAAAGCCUGACGGGGCAACGCCGCGUGAGUGAAGAAGGUCUUCGGAUCGUAAAACUCUGUUAUUAGGGAAGAACAAAUGUGUAAGUAACUAUGCACGUCUUGACGGUACCUAAUCAGAAAGCCACGGCUAACUACGUG